GUGCUCACUUCAGCAGCACAUACAUUAAAAUUAGAAUGAUACAGAGAAGAUUAGCGUGGCUCCUGCACAAGGAUGACAUGUUUAAAAAAAUUUUUUUUU
This is a small nuclear RNA of Pan troglodytes (chimpanzee), 99 nucleotides long. The record is from Ensembl. Lineage: Eukaryota; Metazoa; Chordata; Mammalia; Primates; Hominidae.